Molecule: long non-coding RNA, 1246 nt
Filed under: Mus musculus (house mouse)
Lineage: Eukaryota; Metazoa; Chordata; Mammalia; Rodentia; Muridae
Description: predicted gene, 56875
Source: RNAcentral
AGUCCAGUCUUGUAAACUGUCCGGGGAGCUAUGACACCCUGCAGAGUGCUGGUUCCGGAGGACCUGUGCCAUGGUCUGCUGUGAUGUGGGCCAGGAGCCAAGUGGUCUUAUGUGACCCCUGUGGAAGGGUCAUUCAACACCCAGAGGCUGAGAACAGCUGACGUUCGUGCUGUGGAAUUGACCCUGGGAGACCAGAAACUUGGUAUAAAAGUGAUGGCACCGAGUGUUACAGAAGUGACAUUUCAGAGGCACAAGGCUACAAAGAACAGAGAGAGCUUGUGGUGGUGGCAGAGGAGGCACGUGUCUCCACAGUGCUUCACCCAGUGAUCCUACAACACGGGACUUAGACUCAGGCAUGUCCACAACUUUCCCCAUGUGUAUAGCAGGUAAAGGUGGCACCUAGGCAUGGCCUGCCCACUGAGGGGACACAGAUGAACAUGCCAGAGAACACCCAGCCUGUCUGCCUCUUUAAGGAGAGUCUCCCAGAGAAAAAGAAUCUUGGGCUUAGAGCAGAAGAAAGCCAGGGCUUCACUCAUGUUCAGACUCCCAGAGUGUCUUCAUGGUGGCAGUGAACAGCUCUCCUCAGACCAUGUACCCCCAAAGCUACUGGGUGUCCUGAGGAAACAAAGCUUCAGCCGAAGAUGUCCCAGCUCCUCCCGGGAGCACCUCCUUGUCCCACUCGGUCCCCUCCUCACAGGAAGUCAGCACAGGGCAGAGAAAAUAGCCAGAACUUUGGAGGAGGCUACAAGACAAACCCACCAUUGUCCAUGCAAGCUUGCAAGGGAAAAACAACAACAGGCUUUUCCACUUUGGAGUCUCCAGACUGGGAUAUUCUGCAUACUUUCUUCACUCCAGAGCGCUCAGUGUGAAGAAAUAUCACAAACCUCUAAGACCAAGGCAGCCGGACCCCACCCCCAAAAAGGCCAACUGCCCUGGCCCUCAGAAUCUGCUUCACUGCCAAAGUCCCUCAGUGUCUAAGGCACUCCUAAUAGCUCUCAGGGUUCCCUGCCCCCAGGGACCUCCUCAUCUCUAACUGAUCCUGAUUAUCCUGUGUGAAGGAGAAGCACCUAGGUUAGCCAAGACACGAGGGUGUGUCUGAGGGAGCCACCCACAGUCAGCUGAUGGGCAAAGGGAGAAUGGAGAACACUUGUGCGUUAGAGCAGGCCCACUCCCCCCCCCCCCCCCCCCCGCAGCAGUGAGGCCAAGCAUGCGAACCGGAACCUCUGACAUCAUGCUUCAGACAACC